AAUCAACGCUGGCGGCGUGCCUAACACAUGCAAGUCGAACGCGAAAGCCCCGCGAAGGGCAAGUAGAGUGGCAAACGGGUGAGUAACGCGUCGGGUGACCUGCCUUCGAGUGGGGGAUAACGUUCCGAAAGGGACGCUAAUACCGCAUGACAUCCCGUCUUUGAACAGACGGACAUUAAAGCCGGGGAUCGCAAGACCUGGCGCUUGAAGAGGGCCCGCGUCCGAUUAGCUAGUUGGUGAGGUAACGGCUCACC
RNAcentral lists this ribosomal RNA (254 nucleotides) under uncultured bacterium. Its description in RNAcentral is "partial 16S ribosomal RNA". It matches the Rfam family "Bacterial small subunit ribosomal RNA", at positions 32 to 269 of the family's 1533-position model. The record is from RNAcentral.